UGGUGUUGGGGGGGUCGCUCAGUGUUCUGACCCGUGGUGUUGGGGGGGUCGCUCAGUGUUCUGACCCGUAGAUCUGGUGUUGGGGGGUCGCUCAGUGUUCUGACCCGUAGAUCUGGUGUUGGGGGGUCGCUCAGUGUUCUGACCCGUAGAUCUGGUGUUGGGGGGGUCGCUCAGUGUUCUGACCCGUAGAUCUGGUGUUGGGGGGUCGCUCAGUGUUCUGACCCGUAGAUCUGGUGUUGGGGGGUCGCUCAGUGUUCUGACCCGUAGAUCUGGUGUUGGUGGGUUGCUCAGUGUUCUGACCCGUUGAGUUCUGGUUAGACCUAUUUCUCUCGCCUGCUUAAUGAACAGCAGUGGUUCUCAGGAAAUGGAGGCAGUUCCCCCCCCACACAGAUCCUCUCCUUUGUAGGAAGCGUCCAUCUUUCCAGCACUGAAAUGGCUUCUAGCAGUGUGAGUUAGUUUGUUCUCUGCCAAAAUACCUGCUUUAAUGGUGGAACAGCUCUGCGGGUUCACUGCACACUGCUUGUCCAAAUAAAAUGCUGUCUUUUUUAAGGAAAGGUAGAAUGAUCAACGUGCUUCCUCCUCCUCCUCGCCACUGUCCUCCCCUGUGUGUGUGUGUGUGUGUGUGUGUGUGUGUGUGUGUGUGUGUGUGUGUGUGUGUGUGUGUGUGUGUGUGUGUGUGUGUGUGUGUGUGUGUGUGACUGAACCAUAAAGCUGAUUUUUGUAUCUAUGCAUAAUGUAGCCAGUCACAAGGACUACAGAAAUGGGGGGAGGCUUGUUCUGUCCAGCGUCACAGCGUCAAAAUGUUUUAAAAUAUUUCCAGAAAUGAAUGUGACGAUGAUCAAUAUAUAUAUAUAUGACCUUGUUUCAAUCUCUCUCAUUGCCACAGAUGGUGGUCAAAGAAAAAAAAACUCUGUCAACAACAAACUAUAAUAAUAAUCGUGUUUUUUAUUAUUUUGGGUUGAUUUAAUAUUUUGAACAGUGUAAAAGUCGUCCACAUUUCAUUGCCUUGUUACUUGUGUCCUGAAGAGAAGAUGCAGCAAGUCCAGUGUUUUGUUUUUUAAACCUGUCUGUUUACAACAGAGCAUGAUUGUAAUGUCUUGACAGGUAAGACUGGUAGUCUUGACAGGAAAGACUGGUAGUCUUGACAGGAAAGACUGGUAGUCUUGACAGGUAAGACUGGUAGUCUUGACAGGUAAGACUGGUAGUCUCAUCUGUGUGGCUCUAAAGACUCCCGUUGUUAUUCCCUUUAGUGCACUACUGCUGGUGUGGGGAGCAGGCAGCCAUUUUAGAAUCGGUCCUGUUGAAUCGGGAAGGGGGUGUUUUGGCUUCUUCAUACCUCCCUAGAUGGCUCUCUGUCUGUCAUCGCUGGGGGGGUGAAUGUAACCUAUCGUUGGUCGUAAACACAAUGCCUUUAAAUAAUAAACAUAGAUUUAGCCACUAUUUACAAUGUUGAUUGUUGAGUUAUGAUGAUGCACAAUGUGUGAAAGCUUCAAAACAGCAUUAGGCAAAGCCAUGGACCUUCAUUUAUUUACUUCGAUUUUUAUUUAGUGUCUUUAAAAAAAAAAAACGAACAAAAUAAUAAUAAAAACUGUUGUUUCUCUCCCAGUAGUUUUAUUUGACUGGUAGAAGUUGCUAGUUGUGUUGUUUUGACGUCGCGUUCCUUGACUGUACUGAAUAACUUAAAAGCAUUAGCGUACAAUACAAACCCCCUUGAGUAUUAUUCUGCCAGUGCUGUGCCAGUAUUCAACCGUGUUAAACAACCGCUCUACCAAAUAUCAUUCAAUCAACAACAACAAUAAUAAUAUUUGUUUACUUAAUUCCAGAUAUAUAUAUAUUUUUUUGGCUUAUCUCACUUUUUUGUUUUAACAAACUGUUGCAUGAAACAUUGGAAACCAGGUUUAUUUUUGUGUGUGUGAAUAAUAACUUUAUUGAGACACUGAACUGUGGUGUUAAUAAUAACUUUAUUGAGACGCUGAACUGAGGUGUUAAUAAUAACUUUAUUGAGACGCUGAACUGAGGAGCUUUUUGGAUUUGCACUUGGAUUAUUUAAAGAUGGAAGGAGAGGAGAGAAGACAGCCUCCUAGUCUGCGUCCUGUCUCUCUCUCUGCAGACUAGGAGGCCUGUCUGUCUCUCUGCAGACUAGGAGGCCUGUCUGUCUCUCUCUGCAGACUAGGAGGCCUGUCUGUCUCUCUCUCUGCAGACUAGGAGGCCUGUCUCCUCUCCUCUCCUUUAUAGAGACGUUCUAUCACUGAGAAUUCUAGAAGCCUCUCCUUUAUAGAGACGUUCUAUCACUGAGAAUUCUAGAAGCCUCUCCUCUCCUUUAUAGAGACGUUCUAUCACUGAGAAUUCUAUCAGCUAGAAGCCUCUCCUUUAUAGAGACGUUCUAUCACUGAGAAUUCUAGAAGCCUCUCCUUUAUAGAGACGUUCUAUCACUGAGAAUUCUAGAAGCUAGAAGCCUCUUCUUUAUAGAGACGUUCUAUCACUGAGAAUUCUAGAAGCUAGAAGCCUCUUCUUUAUAGAGACGUUCUAUCACUGAGAAUUCUAGAAGCCUCUCCUCUCCUUUAUAGAGACGUUCUAUCACUGAGAAUUCUAGAAGCUAGAAGCCUCUUCUUUAUAGAGACGUUCUAUCACUGAGAAUUCUAGAAGCUAGAAGCCUCUUCUUUAUAGAGACGUUCUAUCACUGAGAAUUCUAGAAGCCUCUCCUCUCCUUUAUAGAGACGUUCUAUCACUGAGAAUUCUAGAAGCCUCUCCUCUCCUUUAUAGAGACGUUCUAUCACUGAGAAUUCUAUCAGCUGGAAGUCUCAGACCUCGAGCUGCAGAGUAGAAUAUUCUCCUGACCUGUGAACCUAAUAUGCACAUUGCUUCGGGAGGCUGAUAAGAAACGAUGUACAGAGAAAACAACCCAACGUCUAUAAUAUUUACUAAUAAUAAAGACUUACUUUAAAGUUACAGGGAGGGUGUUUUGGCGUUGUGUCUUCCUGACAGGAG
RNAcentral lists this long non-coding RNA (2988 nucleotides) under Salmo salar (Atlantic salmon). Its description in RNAcentral is "lncRNA (ENSSSAG00000121986.1)". The record is from RNAcentral. Lineage: Eukaryota; Metazoa; Chordata; Actinopteri; Salmoniformes; Salmonidae.